This 464-nucleotide ribosomal RNA is filed under the name uncultured bacterium. Its description in RNAcentral is "partial 16S ribosomal RNA". It matches the Rfam family "Bacterial small subunit ribosomal RNA", at positions 339 to 795 of the family's 1533-position model. The record is from RNAcentral.
CUACGGGGGGCUCCAGUGGGGAAUAUUGCACAAUGGGCGCAAGCCUGAUGCAGCCAUGCCGCGUGUAUGAAGAAGGCCUUCGGGUUGUAAAGUACUUUCAGCGGGGAGGAAGGGAGUAAAGUUAAUACCUUUGCUCAUUGACGUUACCCGCAGAAGAAGCACCGGCUAAUUCCGUGCCAGCAGCCGCGGUAAUACGGAGGGUGCAAGCGUUAAUCGGAAUUACUGGGCGUAAAGCGCACGCAGGCGGUUUGUUAAGUCAGAUGUGAAAUCCCCGGGCUCAACCUGGGAACUGCAUCUGAUACUGGCAAGCUUGAGUCUCGUAGAGGGGGGGAGAAUUCCAGGUGUAGCGGUGAAAUGCGUAGAGAUCUGGAGGAAUACCGGUGGCGAAGGCGGCCCCCUGGACGAAGACUGACGCUCAGGUGCGAAAGCGUGGGGAGCAAACAGGAUUAGAUACCCGAGUAGUC